GUAUCUCCUCGGAGAUACAUAUACUAAAAUUGGAACGAUACAGAGAAGAUUAGCAUGGCCCCUGCGCAAGGAUGACACGCAAAAUCGUGAAGCGUUCCAUAUUUUU
This is a non-coding RNA of Mesocestoides corti, 106 nucleotides long. NCBI's taxonomy places the organism in Eukaryota, Metazoa, Platyhelminthes, Cestoda, Cyclophyllidea, Mesocestoididae. The record is from Rfam.